This 65-nucleotide transfer RNA is filed under the name Heterocephalus glaber (naked mole-rat). It matches the Rfam family "tRNA". From Rfam's summary of the family: Transfer RNA (tRNA) molecules are approximately 80 nucleotides in length. Their secondary structure includes four short double-helical elements and three loops (D, anti-codon, and T loops). Further hydrogen bonds mediate the characteristic L-shaped molecular structure. tRNAs have two regions of fundamental functional importance: the anti-codon, which is responsible for specific mRNA codon recognition, and the 3' end, to which the tRNAs corresponding amino acid is attached (by aminoacyl-tRNA synthetases). tRNAs cope with the degeneracy of the genetic code in two manners: having more than one tRNA (with a specific anti-codon) for a particular amino acid; and 'wobble' base-pairing, i.e. permitting non-standard base-pairing at the 3rd anti-codon position. The record is from Rfam by way of RNAcentral. Lineage: Eukaryota; Metazoa; Chordata; Mammalia; Rodentia; Bathyergidae.
GGUGUAGCUCAGUAGUAGAGCGCCCAUCUAGCAUGCGGGAGGCCCUGAGUUCAAUCCCCAACACC